RNAcentral lists this ribosomal RNA (498 nucleotides) under uncultured bacterium. RNAcentral describes it as "partial 16S ribosomal RNA". It matches the Rfam family "Bacterial small subunit ribosomal RNA", at positions 899 to 1397 of the family's 1533-position model. The record is from RNAcentral.
ACUCAAAUGAAUAGACGGGGGCCCGCACAAGCGGUGGAGCAUGUGGUUUAAUUCGAUGCUACGCGAAAAACCUUACCUGGACUUGACAUGCCGCGCUAUGCCUCUAAUAGGGCAGUUCCCUCACGGGACGCGGACACAGGUGCUGCAUGGCUGUCGUCAGCUCGUGUUGUGAGAUGUUGGGUUAAGUCCCGCAACGAGCGCAACCCUCGUCGUUAGUUACCAUCAUUAAGUUGGGCACUCUAACGAGACCGCUAGGCUAUAAGCCAGAGGAAGGUGGGGAUGACGUCAAGUCCUCAUGGCCUUUAUGUCCAGGGCUACACACGUGCUACAAUGGAGAGUACAAAGCGCCGCUACUAUGCAAAUGGAUGCUAAUCGCAAAAAACUCUUCUCAGUUCGGAUUGAGGUCUGCAACUCGACCUCAUGAAGCUGGAAUCGCUAGUAAUCGCGGAUCAGCACGCCGCGGUGAAUACGUUCCCGGGCCUUGUACACACCGCCCGU